GGCCUAACACAUGCAAGUCGGACGGGAUUGAGAAGCUUGCUUUUCAUGAGAGUGGCGCACGGGUGCGUAACACGUAUGUAACCUACCUUGUUCAGGGGGAUAGCCUCUCGAAAGAGAGAUUAAGACCGCAUAACAUUAUUGAAUAGCAUUAUUUAAUAAUCAAAUAUUUAUAGGAACAAGAUGGGCAUGCGGAACAUUAGCUAGUUGGUGAGGUAACUGCUCACCAAGGCUACGAUGUUUAGGGGAUCUGAGAGGAUGACCCCCCACACUGGUACUGAGACACGGACCAGACUCCUACGGGAGGCAGCAGUAAGGAAUAUUGGUCAAUGGGCGCAAGCCUGAACCAGCCAUGCCGCGUGCAGGAAGACGGCCCUACGGGUUGUAAACUGCUUUUAUACCGGAAUAAACCUCGAUUCGUGAAUUGAGCUGAAUGUACGGUAAGAAUAAGGAUCGGCUAACUCCGUGCCAGCAGCCGCGGUAAUACGGAGGAUCCAAGCGUUAUCCGGAUUUAUUGGGUUUAAAGGGUGCGUAGGUGGCUUUUUAAGUCAGGGGUGAAAGACGGUAGCUUAACUAUCGCAGUGCCCUUGAUACUGAAGAGCUUGAAUACACUAGAGGUAGGCGGAAUGUGACAAGUAGCGGUGAAAUGCAUAGAUAUGUCACAGAACACCAAUUGCGAAGGCAGCUUACUAUGGUGUCAUUGACACUGAGGCACGAAAGCGUGGGGAUCAAACAGGAUUAGAUACCCUGGUAGUCCACGCCCUAAACGAUGAAUACUCGAUGUUGGCGAUAUACGGUCAGCGUCUAAGCGAAAGCGUUAAGUAUUCCACCUGGGGAGUACGCCCGCAAGGGUGAAACUCAAAGGAAUUGA
This 868-nucleotide ribosomal RNA is filed under the name uncultured Sphingobacteriaceae bacterium. Its description in RNAcentral is "bacterial SSU rRNA". It matches the Rfam family "Bacterial small subunit ribosomal RNA", at positions 45 to 913 of the family's 1533-position model. The record is from RNAcentral. Lineage: Bacteria; Pseudomonadati; Bacteroidota; Sphingobacteriia; Sphingobacteriales; Sphingobacteriaceae.